RNAcentral lists this ribosomal RNA (177 nucleotides) under Sarcocystis sp. Ssp14. Its description in RNAcentral is "partial 18S ribosomal RNA". Lineage: Eukaryota; Apicomplexa; Conoidasida; Eucoccidiorida; Sarcocystidae. The record is from RNAcentral.
UGGCUAAUACAUGCGCAAAUACUAUAUUUCUUGUAAAUAUAGUAGUGUUUAUUAGAUACAGAACCAAUACGUCGCAGUUUGUUAACUGUGGCGUAGACUACUUAGGUGAUUCAUAGUAACCGAACGGAUCGCAUUAUACUCAUUUUCCAUAAUGAUUGGCGAUAGAUCAUUCAAGUU